AUUGAACGCUGGCGGCAGGCCUAACACAUGCAAGUCGAGCGAGCGGCGGACGGGUGAGUAAUGUAUGGGGACUGCCCGAUAGCGGGGGAUAACUACUGGAAACCGUAUCUAAUCCCGCAUACAAUCGGCUUAGCCUUUUGGGUUUAGCUAGUAGGUGAGGGAAUGGCUCACCUAGGCGACGAUCCCUAGCUGGUCUGAGAGGAUGAUCAGCCACACUGGGACUGAGACACGGCCCAGACUCCUACGGAGGCAGCAGUGGGGAAUAUUGCACAAUGGGCGAAAGCCUGAUACAGCCAUGCCGCGUGUAUGAAGAAGGCCCUAGGGUUGUAAAGUACUUUCAGUAGGGAGGCGGUAAAGAAAGAAGAAGCACCGGCUAACUCCGUGCCAGCAGCCGCGGUAAUAG
This 403-nucleotide ribosomal RNA is filed under the name uncultured bacterium. RNAcentral describes it as "partial 16S ribosomal RNA". It matches the Rfam family "Bacterial small subunit ribosomal RNA", at positions 30 to 526 of the family's 1533-position model. The record is from RNAcentral.